GGGAAUAUUCCACAAUGGGCGAAAGCCUGAUGGAGCAACGCCGCGUGAGUGAAGAAGGUUUUCGGAUCGUAAAACUCUGUUGUAAGGGAAGAACAAGUACAGUAGUAACUGGCUGUACCUUGACGGUACCUUAUUAGAAAGCCACGGCUAACUACGUGCCAGCAGCCGCGGUAAUACGUAGGUGGCAAGCGUUGUCCGGAAUUAUUGGGCGUAAAGCGCGCGCAGGCGGUCCUUUAAGUCUGAUGUGAAAGCCCACGGCUCAACCGUGGAGGGUCAUUGGAAACUGGGGGACUUGAGUGCAGAAGAGGAAAGUGGAAUUCCAAGUGUAGCGGUGAAAUGCGUAGAGAUUUGGAGGAACACCAGUGGCGAAGGCGACUUUCUGGUCUGUAACUGACGCUGAGGCGCGAAAGCGUGGGGAGCAAACAGGAUUAGAUACCCUGGUAGUCCACGCCGUAAACGAUGAGUGCUAAGUGUUAGGGGGUUUCCGCCCCUUAGUGCUGCAGCUAACGCAUUAAGCAC
This 519-nucleotide ribosomal RNA is filed under the name Providencia sp. 206. RNAcentral describes it as "bacterial SSU rRNA". It matches the Rfam family "Bacterial small subunit ribosomal RNA", at positions 357 to 867 of the family's 1533-position model. Lineage: Bacteria; Pseudomonadati; Pseudomonadota; Gammaproteobacteria; Enterobacterales; Morganellaceae. RNAcentral also lists the same sequence under 1 other name. The record is from RNAcentral.